Cinara cedri is the source of this 30418-nucleotide non-coding RNA. Lineage: Eukaryota; Metazoa; Arthropoda; Insecta; Hemiptera; Aphididae. The record is from the annotation of a GenBank genome assembly.
UUUUUUUUUUCCCGCUAACAUCGUAAUAAUGUUAUUAUCAAACCGCCGCCGGCGUUUUGUUCUCCGUCCGGAACAAGGCCGACAAGGACAACGACGAAGACGGAAUCUCGACGAAACCCCGUCGAGCUGCAGACGUCCGCGAACACGUGCAAGUACGAACAUUUGUUUUAUCGUUUCCCUCUCGCUCGUCCUCCACUACUUUAUCCUCGCAGUAUUUUGAGCUCAUCCUACCACUCUGCACGCGCACAACAAAAACACUAUGCACAUUAUCAUAUUAAUAAUAAGGAAAUGAACGGGUUCGAAUCGUGCGUAGACCCGGAUUAAGAAAUGGACUAGUGGCAGAGAGAGAGAGAGGUGCGAGAACGAACAUUAUUAUAAAGAGAUAUCUGAUAGAAUACGACUGAUGUGAUAAACUAUACCUACUCACUAACAGUAAGUGAGAAAGAGAGAGAGAGAGUGAGAGAGAAGUUAAACGCCAACGAUAAUAACAUUUUUAGAGAGAGACGGUAAUAUCUGCAGUUUAAAUCAAAAAAUGACGGCACUAAGACGCUUAUUGCGGGAUACGGGAAUUGUUUAACUAUCUGUGGGUUACACUCACUUUGAUCAUAUACCGUGGACGGAGCAUUCAAGUUAAAUGUGUUAUACUGCGUAUACUCAAUUGUGCAGUCCAAUGUAAACCCCUACUGAUAAGUUAUAACAUAAUUUCGAAUGAUAUAAUAUGUUGGUAAACGUGCGUGCUGCGGCUGCCGCCGGGUUCCGAUCGCUGAUGUAGUUACCUAUGUUAAAAAUUAAAUCGUGAGUGGGUUGGUUAUUUCGGACACUGUUGCAUAGGCCAAUGAAGCAAAUGAGCUGAGGCAGCACUUUGUAAAUAAUAUUUAAGAACUCGAGCACCGCGGUAACGGGACAAUGCGGGUUUUCGAUCGAAACACGUAUGUGUGUAUACGUAUUGUUUUCGAGAGACCCGAUUUUGUAUGUUUGUUUUUAUUUGUAACCAAGAGGUUUUGAAUAGCUAGCGUGAAAUAUCGUUUAUUUUUUAGUAGGCACGAUACGUAGCCUUAUUCCGAGUCUUAUCUAAAACCGGUCAAUUCGUGGUCAUUUGGUUACUCCAGUUUGCGUUUGAGCGAUAACCUUGUUAAAGAGAUAUACGACAGUGGCGCCCAACGCAAUUCGUCGUUCCACGCCCGGAGACCUUUCCCCCCCCCCCGAUUGUGUGUGUUUUGCCCAGUUUUUUAGUUUUCGUGUUUUUUAUGUGUGUUUUCUACACAGUUUUGAUUUUAGAUUCUCAGUGUAGCGAAGAAUGUAUUGGUUUUAUUAAGAUGUUUAUUAUUUUUUUAUUUUUUUUUAUAUAUAUACUGUGUACAAAAAUUCGACUAUAAAUCUUGUCCAGGUGGUACUUUCGGAGGUCAUUUUUUGAUUUUCCAAGUGGUUUUCAUUAUAUCUAGGAAAAACCGGGAUAAAACGUCAACAUUUAAAUGUUUAUAAAUAGUUCAAAAGUUUGGAAAAUUGUAUUACGAAUAUAAGGUUUCUGUCCAAAUUUGUAAUUAUAAAAGAAAUGUUUUCGUAAAUUCUACCGUUAUUUUUAUGAUUUUUCGGAUUUGCCGAACUAUUAAAAAAACUAUAAAGAAAAUCAAAAUAACGACUUUAUUGGACACCAACUAGACUAAAAAUUCAUCGGAAAAUGUCUAAUGCCGUUUUUCUAUUGAAGCGAUAUUAAUGACAGAAAACCUUAGCCGAAAAACGGAUGAUUGUCGUUCAUUAAUAAUCUCUAUGGCAACAACACCAUUGUUGAUGGGCCGUUGUUUUUUAUGAACAGUAUCUGUGUUACUUUUUUUAUUUCAAUAGUUGCAAUUAUUAUUUUGCCCUACUCGGCUCUGACACGUCCGGACUUCGUUUUGCGUAUUUUAGAUAUUUACAAUCAAGUUUGAGUAAUUUUUUCAUUCGAAUGGACACAUUGUUAAUAUAAGUCAAUAUAAUAUGUGUGUAUCUUCGACCAAUCCACAAAACUUCACCUGUGACAUACAAGGCUCCAAGGUAUUAUUUUAUAUCUUUUAAUGAUUUAGGUAUUUAAUAUUUGAUCAGAUUGUCUGUUUUUUUGUUACGCUUUAGAAAUUGUAUUAUAAAAAAAAGUAUUUACGAAAAUGUUUUAAUAAUUAGUAAUUUACAAUUAGCGAUUGGUUAUCUGAAUAAUUUUUUGUAGGCUCAUAUCAUAAAAAAUGAAGUAUCGUUUUUUUUUUCUAAACGAGGCUCUGCUAAAAUUUUCUAUAACUAGAAGACUAUGCGACUUUUUUAAGUGAAAACUUUCACCAUCUACUUUUUUUCUACGGGAUUUUAUAUCAGUUGGAACCUCAAAUUGUAUUGGAUUAUUAUUUAAUAAAAAAAAUGAAGUAAACGUGAUCAAUUGAAUUAAGGCUUGGUGAAUUUGGAUUAUAAUUUAUGUUAUAAAAUAAAUAAACAAAUAAAAAGUAUUUAUUCAUUACCUAUUAUUGUACUCAUUAGAUUUAUUCGACCUUUGACGUGGUUGAAGUCGAUUUGAGUGAUACUGCGUAGCGUAAAUCUGCCGCAAUCACGCGCAUCUUCAAAAACACAUUUUAUAUAAAUUGUAACGUAAAUUUUAUAAUAUAAUUUAUAUACAAUUAUUUAUAAUAUAAAUUAUAAUUAUGAAAAUGAACACACUUUUAAACUUAUGUGCCAUUCAAUAAUUCGAGUAUCUAUACAUGGUGAUAAUUUUCCAAAUUCACCUGUGCUGAAUUACUCUUCAAUAAAGGUAAUUAUCUAAACUUAGGAAGUUAAAAACGUAUUCAAGAACCUCUACAGGACAGCAGAGACUUAACGGAACGGUCACUUUAAACAUACAUACAGCCAUUGAAAAUUAUACCAGAUAUAGUGUUUGAUAAAACGGCGAGGUACCCUGUUCGAAUAAUUAAUCUUAGAUUGUAAAUUAUUAUUAUCGCCAUAUUAUGACUUACGAGUAAAGUAUAUUCAAAAACAUAAUUAAUACGAGUCCGAAUCGUUUUCCAAUAUGCGUUGUCUAUAAACGAAAGGUAAACAAUUUAAUGAUUUUACUCAUGAACCUAACUUAACAUCAACCCCUUCACCCCGACAAACAACGUCUAAAAUUUAUUUAAUUUUUUUCAAAGUCAUAGAACCCCCUUCGAAAAUAAAUCCUGGUUGCGCCACUGGCCUCACGGGUAGAAAAAAAAAACCCAUUUAUCGCCAAUUAUUACCAAUUAAAAACCAUAGAUAAUCUAUAUUACCGCAGUAAACCACUGCUAUAACCACAAGUAACCGGUGCGAUUACACAUAUAUUCUCUUCGGUGACGUUAUUAUACCGUGUAUAAUACAUAUUUAUAGGUGUGCGGAUGUCCUUUCCAUGGUGCAUAUAUUAUCUAAGAUAACAACCCUCUGGACUACCGGGACCCGGAGGGCCCGGUAAAACUCUUAAUCCGGUCCUGUUGGCCGCCCCUCGAUAUGUGUAUACUUAUCAGUUAUGUAGUAUUGUACGGGCGUGCGGCCGACCGUCGACAAGACCGAACGACCAAGUCGUGCAUUACGAACGUCGCGUAUGACAUAUUCCGCGUCGGGUAAAACGGUGAUGGGGUGGGGUGGGGUUGGGUAAUCCGCGGCCGUUUGUCCGCGACCGGAGCAAUCAAUUUCACGAAAAAUCGUUACCGACGUCAGGACAGUUUGUCCGGUCGUUAUGCGAGGAGGACUGACACGUACAGUACGACCAUAAUAUAGUAAAAGAAUAAAAAAAAAAAAAAAAAAAAAAAUAAUGGACGGAACCGUCGUCGUCGCAUCGUCAGCAGCGUGUGUUGUGCGGAAGACACGUCGUCGUCGGAAUCUAUCGGCGUCCUAUACGGGAAAAAAUAUCGUUUGGAAAGGAAAAAAAAAUAAUAAUAAUAAUAAAAACGAAGGAUAUGUGUGUGUGUGUGUAUGUGUGUACGCGCGCGCUCGGGCUCGUAAUAAUAAUACCUUGGCGGAGGUCCAACAGGACGAAAUAAUAAUAAUACGAGUAUAGGUACUUUAUAACAAUAUUAUUAUUAUUAUUAUUAUUAUUAUUAUUAUUAUAUAUACGUGAUAGCAGCUGCUGAUAACCGAAACGGCCGGCGAGUGGCGGUACUGCCGCAAUAGUUGUACCUGUAUACGAGUGCCGCGUACGCAGUCGAGAAGAACACGCUCGCGCAUUACUUAUAUACGCGCGGCGGGUCCUACAAUAAUAGUAAUAAUAAUAAUAAUAAUAAUAACAAAUAUAAAAAAAAUAAUAUAACGCAAUAAAAAUACACGUACGCUACGAACGGCGCAUUCGUAAGCGUCCGUGUACAUGCCGUUUGCGUGAAUGGGUUGGGUAGUUCGGAGACGCGCGAUCCGUCGUCGUGGGUACGUGCGCCGUCGUCGUCGUCGUGUCGGCGCUGGAAAGGCAACCGGUCCGGUUCUGUAAUUGCGGUCACGUACUACGCGGACGCGCGGCAGAAACGACGGCCGCGACUACCGGCCCCGCGCCGAAUCGGACCCACGGCCGCGGAAUACUAAAAGCUCCGUCCGGCUCCGGGGAGACGCGCGGGCGUGUGUUUUUUUUUUUUUUUAUUAUUGCGGCCGCGGCUGUAGUCGUCCGCCGCGACGUCGUAGUGACAGGCACAGGGUACGACAGCAGCGAAUACCAUACGCGCGUGUUUUUUACGCGAUACCGCGGUGAUUAUAUUGCGUGUCGUUUUGCGGACGACCGGUUCGACGGGGUUUUCUCUCGUCGGGGGAACGAGUGGUAGGGGGGUGGGGUGGCGGGCGCGUCGUCGUGACGGUUUUCGAAAUCCGGUAAAAACAAACUGUCCGAAGGAAGAGAGGGUUUAUGUACGUUUUCCGUUGGUUUCAACGGCAAUAAGCAGACCGAGAGUAUCGGAAAUACGCAUACACUCGUCGGUGUCGGAGUUUCGACAUUUUUCCGGGAGGAGUCCCGAAAAAUCAUAAAUAUAUUAUCCAUUAAAAUUUAUUAAAAGACGACAUUUUAUUGAAAUUGAUCGGUGUCUGGAAGGGGUCCGGACCCCUGGAUUCGUCCCUCGUAAAUCCGCCACAUUAAUAUGCAAAAUAUACACCCGUUAAAGGCCAUUUAAAUCGAAAAAUAAAAGGAAAAACAAUACCUGUACAAAAGACGUAAAACGAAAAAAAAAACGUGCCAAAAAUCGAAUUGUGAUUUUUUUUUCCCGAAACCAAAAAUAUUAGAGCGAGAAUUGGCCUAUAUGUGUGUCGUCAAAUUCCGAAUUUAGAACAUAAUAUAAUAUCGGUGAGUAUUUCCAUUUAUUUUUCUCGAUUAGGUUAACUCUGCCAAUUGUAAAUGUGUUUUACGAAUUUACAAUAUCUAAUAUUAUAUUGAAUAACAGGUACACGUUUUGACUACUUAAUUUUACCUCCUUUCAUUUCCUAAUUAAUGCCCGAAAGCGAUCGUUCUACCCAUCAAUGAUACGAUAUUUCUUUCAUAGUUCAUUAAGUUUUUUGUCACGUUCUUCGGAUAAUUCAGAUAAUACUUUGAGCUCAUUUUUCAACUUCUCAAUUAUAGCGUCCUUGUUGAAGAUUGUUUUAUUUUUCUCAACUUUUUCCGGAGGUUUACAAUCACUUCUCCGCCGUUAGCCUUUGGUGUUUCAACAACUUUUACCUUAUUAGGCUUCAUUUUAAUAUUUUAGAUUCUGAGUGGAGCGAAGAAGCUUAUGGUUUUACAAAGAUGUUUAUUUUUUUUUUUAUCUGUGCGCAACUUUUCUACCAGAGAAUUUGCUCGGAUCUCUACGUGUAGUACUCUUUUUUAAAAGAAAAUCACUGUUGGGAGGUAUUUUAAGGAAGUUAUUUUUCGAAUUUCUCAAAAAUUUUCCCAGCAAACGUGAAAAACUGAGAUAAAACAUGGGAAAACCGGGAAAAACGUUGGGAACUGGGAAAAUUAUCUAUAACAGUGACUGCGAUCCUGUUUUCAUUAUCCUAGGACGUUUUUUUCAACUUUUCAGUUAAAGUAUUCUUCUUAAAAAGUGCUCAAUUUUUCUAAAUCAAUUUUUUCCUGAGUUUUAUAACUACUUCUCUGGCAGCCAUUGAUUGAGGUUUCAUUUAACGUUAUUAUUUAGUACAAUAAAUAUCCAAUUAAACCAUGUAUUUAAAAUACUGGAAGUUUAAAUAUUUUAAUAAUAAAAUAUUUUUUAUCUAAGUAACUAAUCUUCGAUACCCAAUCUAGAUGACCUUCUCUAGUUUUUAUUUUUAAUUUUUGUUUUUAUCGAAUUCAUAAAUCACAAAUUGUUUAUUAAAUUAAACGAUAAUUAGAAAAGAUUAAAAAUGAUUUACUUACGAAUCAGUCCAUUCCAUCGGGAAACUAGAAAUGAACUUAUCGUAAAUAAUGCAAUUUUAAAUCGCCGCGAAUUUGUCCCGUUUGUAUUUAUCCGGUGUUUCUCGACUGUUAUUUAUUAUCUAAAAACUAUUGGGAAAAUUAAAAACACCGGUCUUCCCAACGGGUGCCUAAUCGGCUAUAUAGAUCCGAAACGCUAUUGAUAAAGCGGCGUCUCUUGUCGUUUUUCCGGUGGAAAAAUCGUAGUCGCAAAAAAAAAAAAUCGGAUAUAGCAAAAACCAAUAUAAACGUAUAUUCGCUAUACGCGCUCUCAGACUGUAAAUACACUACAGACUUGUUGAAAACCGUUUUUUUAAUACCGCAGAGUCGUAACAAUAUUAUAAUAAAAUAAUACGUAUAUCGACGGGGUUUUCGAAGGUUUAAACGAUAUCGUCGAGUACACAUAAUAAUAAUAAUAAUAAUAAUAAGUGUAUAACGUAUACGACGGGUAAAUACGGUAAACAGCGUAGUAGUGUAUCGGCGAAACGCGCGCACGAGUUUGCGUGGGGAGCUGUGGCACGGUGUGGUUGUUUUAAAUGAAUUAUUCAACGGGAUAAAAGUGUGCGGCCGAUUGCUACCAUCGCCGACAAUAAAGGCGUGGUUAACGGGGAAAAAGCAAUACUUUUUCUUUAAUCUCGCACAAACGGCAUGGUGUGUUCAACGGUUCGACGGACGAAGGGGUUAAAAUUUAUUCACCGACGACAGUCGACACGGGCGAAACGGUUAUAAUGUCUGCGCGCUGUCGUCGUCGUAUAGCCUUUGCUGCUGCUGCUGUUGAAUUAUAUACCUGGGUUGUGUACACUGUAAACGGGAGGUAUUUUUUUUUUUUUUUUUUUAUACGAGUCACGGGGAGGCGGCCGACGGAAAGAAAAAACAAAUACGGGGGGUGGAAAGGAAAUACAGAAAAAAAGAUACGGACAUACUUCGCACAAUGGAUGGGCCACCGUUGUGUGGUGAAAAGUCGAGAAAGUAUGGGGGUAAAUUUAAUGUGUAUCUGCAACGAUUAACACAUUUCUAACGAUUCUGAGCGGAAUUAGGUCAAUAGUGUUGCCUAUUCAACGAUAUAUUAUGUGUCAUAAUAUGAUGCAUUAUAUGUUGUUUUAAUAAUAUUUAUUUUUCCUACGUUUUUUCUACGUUUUUCCUUAUUUAUUUGAGGAAAUUAUAAUAUGACCUCAUUUAAGUACUACCCCAGUCAAAUUUCCUUUAGAAAAAAGUGCUACAUUUUAAAAUCGGUACAAAAUUACUAGCAAAAAAGUUGUUGACAUAUAAAAAAAAAAUAGGUAUCGUAGUAAAACCAAUCAAUUUCUCGUUUCGCUCAGAAUCUAAAAUACGUAUAAAAAUCCGCGAAGUAUCCCGUUUGACGACGGCGUGUGUAGAUACGAGAUGUUAUUCGAAUUCGCGCCGCUAUAAUAGAAGGCUGGGCGUUAGAGAGUUAACAAGUUAAAGUUAAAUUGCUUUAAAUUUUUAACUUAGUAAAUACAUUUUUUUUUUUUGAACUAUUAACUUAAUUUUUAACUCGAGAAAUACAAAAAAAUUAACUUUUGUUGUUUAAAUUGUGUACAGGAAAUAAAAAUCGUAAUAAAAUAUUACGAUUUUUAUUAUUACUAAAAUAGUAACAUAUUUCACACAUUUUCCUGGUUUUAACUAGGUUUUUCAAAUUUGAUGAUAAAAUCGAAAAAUGACCUCCCUAAAGUAUCUCCUCGCAUCGAUUUUCUUUCAGAAAAUGAGCUAUACUUAGAAAUCCGAGCAAUUCUCCUGGUAGAAAAGUUGUUAACAGAUAAAAAAAAAAAAAAAAUAAGAAUAAACAUCUUUGUAAAACCAUAAGCUUUUUUGCUCCACUCAGAACCUAAAAUGAGUGAAGUUGAUUUCAAUUUUUAUUUGUACGCUCAUAUAAAUAAAUAUAUUAUUAUUGUCGUUAUCAAUAUAAUUUAUUAUGAACAAUUUAAAAUACGAAUUGUUAUGAAUGCCUGUUACUUUGUAUUGUUGUCUCCGGUUGGGGUUUGUAGGUAUAGAUUAUUAGAUCAUUAUAGUAGGUAAUAGACAAUAAUAUGUAAAGGUCUUUUUUUUUUUUUUUUUAGUUAAGUUAACUCGAGUUAAAAAUGUAAUUUUAACUUUUGGUCAACUUCUAAUACUUAGUUGCGAAUCGAUCGAUUAUCUCGAAUCGACUUUUAACUGUUAACUGUAUUCAAAUUUAAAUUUAACUUAACCGAGUUGAAAAAAAAUCAUUAAUUCGCCCGGCCUUGUUACAUGAUAUAAUAUUAUUAUUAUUGUACGUCGUCGUCUUCGCCGAGCCGUCAAAUGGCCCGGUCGGGUCCGUGACGCGGCGGCUCUCCCCCGCGCCCGCCGUCGCAGCUAUAAUAUUAUUGUAAUAUUCGAUAUUUUUUAUGAUACAUUAUCGCAGUGUUAUUGUGUAUAAGACGUACAAUACGAAUUUUAGUAGGUGUCCGUCGGAUGUGUAUAUACAUAUACACAUAGGGUGGCGUUAAAUGCGCCGGAAAUGUAGUCGGAAUUUCUCAAUUGAACCGGAAACGGAAUAUUAUGCGACGGCGACCGAGACGAUGACGAUUUUAAGUACGCGUAAAUAUAUUUUCAUACUCGUCAACGUCGUAUCGUUAACCGUCCGAAAUGAUCGGAUCACGCGGUCCGUUUUGUUUUUUAUUGUACGCAGAGGACAGAAAACCGGCCAACAUUUUUAUAAUUAGGUAAUUCGAAAUGUGACAAAACGGCGUGUAAAAAAAUUAAAAUCGUCAUAAUACAGUUAUCGCAGUUUUUUUUUCUCGCACACUUAUAAAACGUCGAUGUCGACGCGGAUCAUUUAUUCCGUCUGCGAAUUUACCCCCAAGCCGAUUUGUCGUCGUUACAAUAAUAUUUCUUACGCGUUUUAUCUUUAUCUUUUUCAUUUUUUUAUAAUCAAUUUAAAAUAGUUAUUUUCGCCGGAGUUUUAUUAUAUUUUAGUUUCAAAGUAUAUGCAGGGUAUUUAAAAUCCGGUAUUCUGUGCGAUGAGCGAACACCAUCCAUGUACUAAACUACAUCCUCUGGCUUUAUUUCGGGGUCUGUAGGGGUGUACAGAGCUAGAAAAAAACGGCCUCGCCCCGCAACGACACGGUUAAACUCGUAUUGAAAUUCAACCGAAAUCGCAUCACUUCAAUCCGCCUAUGAAAAAUACCCUAAUUGUUGAAUUUAAGCUCAUUUGGUCCGAAAGGGGAACCGUUAAAAUGAUGAAAUGUAACGGAAAAAAAGAUUCGUAUAUGGGUAUACAUUGCAAUAAGAGCGGUUUUUUUUUGUUUUUAUCUCGAUUUAUUAACGAUUAUAUUUACGAAGAUUUUGACUAAAACCGAUUGUGAUUUUUUUCAAUCAUCCUAGAAUCGUUCAACGGUCUUAUUGACAAUGGUUUCAAAACGUCAUCCGGCUUCUCCCUCACACCAUAAAUAUAAUAACAUAUCAACUGAAGGUUAUCAAAAAGCAACGCUGCCUUUUUUUCAACAGAUAUUCAUAAUAUUCACCGAAUCGUAAUAUGAUCCGGCGAAUUUAAUAUUAUUAAAAAAGACAGACGUACUUCGCGCGUGGAUGAGAAUUUAAUGUAUAUCUGUACGCAAUAAUGAACCAUUGCUAACAAAAAAACGAUACUGAGCGGAGUACGAUUAAUUUUAAUAGUGUUGUUCUGUCUGCUGUCAACAAACAAUAUAUAAUAAUAUAUCAUAAAAUAAUCACAUAUGCAUUAAAUAUUUUUAAUAAUAAUAUUUGUUUAAUAUAUAUUGUACCUAUUUUCCCGAUUUUUCACAUUUGUCACGAAAACAGCUGGAAAAAUCAAAAAAUUACGUUCUUAAAGUACCACCAUAGAUUAGAUUUCCUUUUGGAAAAAGCGCUACACUUGUAAAUCGAAGUAAGAUUUCUGGUAGAAAAGUUGUUUAUAGAUAAAAAAAAAAAAAAAAACAUCAUUGCAAAUCAAAUACAUCCCUCGCUCUACUCAGAAGCUAAAAUAUCAAUAUAUAUAUAAUAACCCAAGCACUCAUCUAUGACUAGGUGUGAACUUUCAUCCAAGUUCGAUUUAAAAUACCUCACAUUAUCAAAUAAAACACCAAGGCAAUCUCUUAUCGAUGGCAGUUUAGAGCCAGUUAUUUUGUCAUUCAUAGACCCAAUUAAAAAAGUUGACUGCCCAGACAUUUUGUUUUAAUAAGAUUGUAGCUUAUAAGUUUGAAUGUAAUUGAAAUUAUCGUUAUUCAAUCUAAGGAAAUACGCCCGCCACCAAGGAAAUAAACCAACUAAAAUAUGUUUUUAACUUUCAUUUAAAUCGUACAUGUAGAAUACGUUAUUCUGUUGUCCGUUUUAUGUAAGAAUAAUAUUCGAAUACCAUUUUAUUUACUAAUAUCAAAACAUUAUUUAAUCUAUACAUCGUAAAAUAACUUAAUUGUUACACAACAGAAAGUUGUGCGUUGUGAGAUAAACGAAAUACAGAAGCCACUUGAAUUCCGUCGAUACGUUAUUUGUAAUGGCUACAAAAUCAUUAUUGCCAUUACUCCUAUAUACAUAUAUAUUUAUGUAUAUUAUACAAUAUACAUUGUAAAACGUGUAAAGCCUAGCACAACCAGCUUUUAAAUCGUUUUAUAAAUAAAACGGUAAAUGUCAUAGACAUUUUAAAGAGACGCUUUAUAUUAUAAGAAAUCGUUUUGGCAACAAUAAAGUUCCUAAUCAAUUUUUUUGUACAUUGAAAAUUUAAAAAAAUAAAUAUAAAAACCAAAACACAACCACUUUGAAGCUUCGCGAAGGGGUUGACGUAUCGUACUCAAAAUAAACCUAAAUUAUUUUCACAAUGUACUUCACAAGAUUUCGAGCCCGCAAAUUCGAAUAAUUAAUACGUUUUUUUUUUUUUCAACUCCUAUAGCUAAGGACCGCCAUAAUAUAUAUAUAUAUACAUAUAUAUUAAAAGGUAAAUUGUAUGCGCUUGUUUAUUUUCGCCUGUAUCGUAUCNUAUAGCUAAGGACCGCCAUAAUAUAUAUAUAUAUAUAUAUAUAUAUACAUGUAUAUUAAAAGGUAAAUUGUAUGCGCUUGUUUAUUUUCGCCUGUAUCGUAUCUAUACAGUUCAAUUUCGGUCUCAAAUAACGCGUCCGAUUAAUGACGUUACCGAUGAGAGUGGGUUUAACGUUUGUAUAAUAUGUUAUUGUUAAACGUAAUAUUACGUUUGAAUAUUAAUAACGUAUAGGUAUGAUGAAAAACGUGAGAAAUUCGGAUGGCGAAAAUUCUAUUGCAAGGAAAAACGGGGAAAAAAAACAGCAAAAUUUGUGUACGGGUGUUUACAUUUUUAUCGUUGUUAAUUAUUAAAUUUUAAUUAUAUCGCUUAAAGGUUUAAUUAAGUUUACAUUUUUUACAUAAACGUUCAUAAAUACAUCAAAAAAAUACUAUUUACGUUCGUUUCACCCCGUUAAUGAGUCUUUUUUUUUUUUUUUUGCGUUAAAUUUGAUGAACAUCGUUUACAAAUAUGUAACAUAAGCGUGUCACUAUUGAAAUAAUGUUAUUAUUCGAUAUCAAAUUAAAAGUUUUUAUUUUUUUUUUAGAAAAUCGGAACACGAAAUGAAAAUAUUUGCAUAUUUUUGAGAACUUUAAAUUAAAGUUGACAUAAUUUAAAAAGCGAUCUCUUUUUUAUUUAUUUAUUUCGAUACCUAUGUAGCUAUAUUAUGUACUUCAAACGAAAAUAUUCAAAUUUGUUGGCCCGGAAAUCGACACAACGCGGGUAAAACUGCAAAAUAUGAAAAAUAAAUUAUUUUUAGUUUGGAGACAGUAAAUUAUACGAAAGAAUACUUUUGAUUCAGAAACACGUUACUGCCUAUAAAUUGUUUUGGCUCGGGGGCGGGAUUAAAAUCGACAAAAAUUCACCGUGUAGCAUAGCGACUUGCAACUCCUCUCCACCUUCUCAUCACUGACAAUUACACUCGUUAAACGUUAGUUUAUGGAAAAUCGGCUUUCCAAGCGAACCGGAGGGUUGCGGAAUUAAACUUUUCGAACUGCGCAUCUGGUUACAGACUAUAAUAAAGUUUCUCAUAGGCGGAGAUUCGAUUGAAUUUUUUGGAGAACUAUUUUUGCGACGAGCAAAAAAAAAUCGUCGCUUGCGUAUUAUAAUACCUGCAUACUCGUUCGUUGUAACACAUAAACAUGUAAUUAACAUUUUUAUAAAAAAUCGUUUUAAUUUCGGGUGGAGAGGAGGCUAAAAUAUUUAUUUGUUUAUUUUUUAACAAUUAAGUGGUGCUAUGGAUGAUUUUGUGGGCUAUGUCACCCUAGCUCCAGCCAAUCUUCGUCUAUGGCUCACUUGCAUUUUUCCAUUUUUUUUUUUUCAAAAAACGGGAACCAAUUCGGUUACGUCGCAAUAUUAUUUAUUUGAUUUGUAAUAAUGCGGAUAUAGAGUGCAAUGGAACCGUUAGAAAUUCAAUUGAAAACAUGUAUAAUUUUGAGCCGAGAUUUUCCCUAGAUAGCUCGCCGGUUCAAUCCGGUCCUUGUCACCGUCGACCAAUCGGCAAAGCGUUGCAAGAUAUAGUAUGUAUAGAUGACGAGUAUAAAAAUAAUUAUGAUGUUGACAAAAUAUCGGCAAAAAAUAAUAUCAUGUAAAGUUCCAAGAUUUUUCGGCGAUUGCUGUAAAAUUAGUACCUAUUUUAAACAAAUUUGAAAUACCUAUUUAAAAAAUAGAUAUGAUGAUUUCAAUGAUUCGGGGGGGGGGAGAGGGAAGGCUAAGCACCCCCAUGUUUUUCCGCCUAUGUUAAACUACUGCACCAAAACGCGGUAGAUUUGACGUCAUAAUAUCGUCAUGUUAUUGCUCGAAAAACUCAAACGCGUGUCUUCCGGAAACUUUAGCACGUCAGACGUAUGAAAAAAAUAGCAUCGUAAUUAACGCGUUGUAAUAAACAUUGUUUUUUUUUUUCGCGGUCAGUUAGUUAUGAUGUAAAAGGAAAGAAAAAAAAACCGUAAAAACUGUCGGUAAACUAUAACGUCGUUAUAUUCCCCGGCGCGGCGGCGUAACAUACAGGAGAGUUACAAUAACGCGACACGGUGUCCACGUAUAGCAAUGAAAAAAUGUGUAUAAAAUACGCCCGAACCAGUUACGGUUCGGCCGCAGCGUACGCUUGUUGUUCCGAUAGAGCUGCACACACGCGCACGCCUAAAUAACAUAUUACAGAUACGAUUGUUAUCUGUGUAAAUUAACGCUGACCGUAUAAUGUGCGAUAGUACUUAAAGGGAAAAAAAAAAAUGAAAUAACGAACCGGAGGAGACAGAUGUUUGUGUGUGCGUCCGCAGCGCGUUUCCGUCGCCGCGCCGCUCACUUCGAUGGGUCUCAAUAACGGCGGCGGCGAAGUCUUUUGGGGAUCGCGGGAGUCGCAGCAGGUGAUUUUCGACCGAUAGUAGUGCAUUUCGGAUGUAUAACGCAUAAAACAGCGAGCGUGUUGUGUCGUAUUAUAGUGUUAUAGGGCCGCUCGACCGGAACGCGUUGUACGAUCUCUUUUAAUUGAUUCCGAAAUAGAUGGAAAAAAAAAAAUGGAAAAUGUAUAUAGAAUAUAGGUAAAAAAAAAGUAAUGUCGUUAUCUACACCUUUGAUCUUUCCGGGGGCAUCCGAGAAAUUGCUCUCGGUAUAUACGUGUGUAUUUUUUAUUUUUUUUUUUUUGUUCAUGCGCUAUCCGGUUCCAAUUAAUAAUAACGUGUCCGAGGUCAUUCUUUUUUUUUGGUGUAUGUGUGCGCGCGCGUGUGUGUGUAUGUAAUUUUUCCCCGUUGAUCCUGACGUUUUUUUUUUUUUUUUUUUUUUUAUAAGCCGUGAAUAUUAUUAUUAUGACCGCGAAGCCCGAAUGUAAUAACAGUUUAUAAUAACACGACGACAAUACGUAACGUUUUAAAAUAAUACACGAGUCUGCGGGCAAGCCGCACGUCAAAAUAUUCAGUACACCGCGCACAUCCGGAAACACGGUGCAGACUCGGCGCGGGUCGGUCCUUCCCGAUCGUGUGUGUAGAGAAUUUAUUUUCGUAACGGAUUCGCCGUUUUAUUAUUAUUAUUAUAAUGCUCGUAAGUCGUAUCGUAAGUGAUGUGUCACGGCGAUUCAUUGUUGCUGCGGUACGAGGCAGAAUACACAAUAGUCUCAAAAGUGCAUUCACGAUUUUUUCGUUGUUUACGUGUCGUAGUACUUCGAGUAGCUGGAUACAAUAUGUGUAACGUUACAAAUACGAAUACAAUUGAGAAACGUUUUAUUUUCGGCGAAAAUCGAAUAGACAAGACCCGGGAACAAUCGUCGCCCCGACGUACCGUUCAAGUGUUUCCAACACGAUUAUUGUGUAAAAUGUGAAUAAGCUGCGCAUAAUAUGUAAAACGAAAAAUAAUGAUCCAUUUCAGUCACAAACUCCAACGUUCCGUCUCACUUUGCUACACCGGUACAUUGUCUCAGGAAUUUCCAAAACGGGGUGUUAUAAAAAAAAAAAAAAAAAAAAAAAAAAAAAAAAAUGCAAAAUCGUUUUCACUAUUUGCCGGGCCAAACACAAACGGAGUAGGACGCGCUCCUAUACGAAAAAUUAUCGUUCUACAGGGACGACUUUGCGCUAUUAGAUUUAAUAUUAGAACGAAUUGACCCAUUGUCAAAAAUUAAAUUUAAGAACAUUAUCCGAACACAUUAUUGGUGUUUUAUAAUAUUGGAUUCAAUAUUAGAACGAAUUGACCUGUUGUCAAACUUAAAUUUAAGAACAUUAUCCGAACACAUUAUUGGUGUUUUAUAAUUAACUUAAUUUCCAAGCGAACAUUUUCUAUAAGCAUUGUUAAAUUGUGGCAUUCCACAUACCACCCCGUGACUGAUUCGAGAAAUGAAAAUAUCGAAGAAACAGGUACGUUACUGAGAUGAUGUUCUUUUCUUUAAAAGUUCUUUUCAUAUACGCUAUAUCCAUACCCUCUGUAGCUUUCUGUUUUUUCCCCGUCACCACUCUCCGCGUACGUUACAUAUUUUCAAUUCUUUUAUUCGUCCGUUUUCUUCGUCUGCCGAAUUUCAAUUCCAUACAACAUCGUUACUGAUCGUAUCAAGGUAGCGUAAUUGAUCAUUUAUUUUGACGGUAAUCGUGAAUUACUUUUUUUUUUUUUUUGUUUACAUAGGUUUUCUGUUUCCAGUUAUACAUCGUCUAAUUACCGUACUCGAUACAUUCUUAUGAUAAUUUAUAAUAAUAUUUGUCAAUUUAUUUUCACCGCUCAUCAUUAUCAAUACGAGUAUAAAGCUGCUGGUAUUGAUUCGACGACGGGAGUCUGCAAUCACAUAUUGUCCUGCUUUAUGACUUCUGUUUGCUUAGUUAGAAAAUAAAAUAAAACGAUGACUGGUAAAUUACUAAUGUUAUUAGCUAAUGGAUUGGUUAGGAGUCCAUUAGUUCGACUUUUACUCUUACGAGCAUUAUCGUAUUAAUUCACUUGACGUGAUGGGUACAAAAGUCGCAAUAACGAUUAUACGGGCAUUUAAGGGAUUGCAUUUUAGCGCAAAACUCGACUAGUUAAUUUUUUUUUUAACAAAAUACGUUUUAGACUAAUGAAAUUACUAAUAUUCGAAUAACAUACUAAUACGUAAAAACGUUCAUUUUACUGUUAAAUAUACAGUUGUUUUUAGUCAUGUCAAGAGUUUCGUAAAAAUCGAAUUGAUUAUUACAUUUUUUAGCGAAGUACUUGAAAAUAAAACAAUUCAAAUUCACGAUAUAUUAUAUCGAUUUUAUAAGUGUCUGGGUGUUGCGGGACUCAGAAUCAAAAUGAUGUGCAAUAUGAACGGAAGUAACUGAAUCGCAUGUCUGACGACGUAACCUGUAGUUUAGGUUAGGCAAACCAAACAUACAAAACAUACUUUUGCAUUUUGAAAUACUUAGUAGGGCCAGGCACACAAUUUGUUAACUAUUUUCUUUUGUGAAAGCAGCUUUGGGGUACCGUCCCGCAUCUGGGUUAGCUGCCUUAAGGCAUUAUAAAUCAAUUAAUAAACAAUGGUGUCUGGUGGGGGGGGGGGGGAAAUAAGAGAUCUCAAUACUACCCCCUUUGUAUCGGUGCCACACGUAAAAAAAAAAAAAAAANGGGGGGGGGGGGGUGAAAUAAGAGAUCUCAAUACUACCCCCUUUGUAUCGGUGCCACACGUAAAAAAAAAAAAAAAAAAUGUUAACCAAACAUAACCUAACCUGUAGAUUAUUAGACCCUCGGACGUGAGAGCGUCUGGAGUAAACGAAGUAAUGAAGUCUUUGAUACACGAUGGGAUCUCAUUUGCGUACAUACACGUUAAACUAUAUAUUUUUAAAUAAACUAAACAAUUUACGUAAUCAUACUGAAAUUUGAGUACAGUCGUUUAUAGACUUUUAUGAGAAAAGAAAAUGAGACAGUCAAUAACAAAUAAAAUGUAAUUGAACAAAUAAAAUUACACAUUUACAUUAUACUUUGUGAUGUAUAACUUAUACAUUUAAACACGAGGAAAUAAAUGUAAUUAAUUGUUUUCUUUGAAUAUUUCGUUCUCUGUUAAGCAUUUUUAUCGUAUUACAUUAUUUGGUAUUCUGUUUUUAAAUAUUUUAUUUUCUCCAUUAUCAGUCUUUGUACGAAAUAUAUCAGACGCUAAAAAUCGAUUAGAAAAGAUUACCUUUCCGAUGUGGUGAACGUCGAUGGUCAAAUAGGAAGCUAGUCAAUGUGCCUGCAGGGAUGCACGAGUUCAUCUCGGUGGGAUGGCUGAAUAUAAUGCAAGAAGGUGGGACCGCGGGAUAGAAUAUGAGCUCAUUGUGCAGCCGAGCGCGAGAAUAAACGGAUUCGCGAAAACGGCGCUGAUACCUAUUAUAUAUUCAUAUACAGGGUGAUUAUUUUAUCACGAUCUAAUGAUGUUUCACGGGAGAUUUGAUUGGUUAGUUUAUGCAAUAUGCAAUGGCGGUUUGAUUUUUAUUUCAAUACUUUUUCGAGUUUCACUCUAACUCCUUAUAUAAUUUAAAUGAGUGUUAACUAUAGAUUUUUAAAUAGCAAUUCCAUAUUUUUUUUUUUUUAACAGAUUUUGUUUUUUUUUUUCUGAAAACGUUGAUACGAAUAAUACUUUUACUGAAUGUACCGAUAAUGGUUUAUUAAAGUUUAAAAUUUAGUCCGGAAUAGUAAGCCAGGGUAAUACAUUUCAUAUCUACUUUUAGAUGAUUAUACCUUUCCCAACUCGCCCGCGGUCUGCAUUCAAUUAAAUUCGAAUCAAGCGUAUUAUAAAAAUGUUCUCUAGUCGAAUAUGGUUAGAAAAUCAAGAUUUCACCAAAGGACGAGUUAUCGAAUUUGGGAAUUGGUGUUUUACCGUAAACGUGCACCUAGAAUACCAAAAGAUCAAUUUUUACUUUUUAUUUAUCUAUGUUUGUAAGUAUUUAUAAUUCAGUCGGCAUUAAAAUUAUCAAUGAAAUCGAAUAACUAGUAACCAUUUAUAAUAAUAAUAAUAAUUAGUAAUAAUUAGUAACCGAAUUAUUAGUAUGGUAACUAUUUAGGUACCUAUCUAAUAGCCUGUAACCCCAUUCACAUGAUAGUGGUUCGGAAUUUCGAAUAGAUUUCGUUUUUAGCACAAAAAGUUUAGGUACGGCACGCGGCGUGUCAAUGCACCACUACUCUCCUCCAACUCAAACUUAAAAGCGAAAUAGCUCGUCAACGGACUUACGGAAAUCAAAAAUUUCAACACUGAAAACUUUAUUUCAACUAAUACUCCAUCUGUUUGUGUAACUUUUAAUAUAGGUUGCCAUUUGAAAAUCAAAAGUAGGUAGUGGUUUCAUCCCCGAAAAUAAGGGUAACGAAAAAUAACGUGAAUACAAAAUUGUAGUGCAGCUUGUUUCUUGAAUGUUUUAGAAAACGGAUUCCGGAAAAAGUUAAUACUUUCCGAGGUAAUGAGUAUGGUGUCCACUUGAACGGAUGACCACCCGGUGUUACCGAAGAAACUCGUAAAGAACGUCAAUUUUGGGGGUGCUAAAAUAUUAUGGACACAUCAAAGAUCCGCCGGAGAGCUGCCUCCGUAAUCACCCGUACGCGGUUCUCGCAAUAGUCAACUAGACCAUUCAUUAACAAUUUCGUGCAUGCUAAUUUACCAUAACUAAAUUUUAACAUUAUUUUUCAUGCACACGCGCGUUGUCUGUAGGCAACGCGUAUUUUUGUCUGCUCGUCAAUUAUGAUACGCACGGGUAAAAUAUUUAGUCGAUACUGCGAUCGGAUUUUUCCGGGGUUGGGGGGGGAGGGGUGUGUGUGUUAAUUUUAAACUCGGUGGUGCUAACGACGCCGCAGCAUCCGAAACGCGCGUCCGACGGCACGGCCUCUACGGUUUUAGGCCGCCGACACGGAACCGACCCGACCUUUACAACCGUUAUUGAGCCGUUCGAAAGCGUCGGACGCGGGAGAGCGCGCGGACUCCGGAGACGGCGGUGGGAAAAUGCGGGAAAAACCGCGGUCGGCCGGGAACGUUUCGGAGCGUGGCGGCCGGGCCCCGUUCGCGCGCGCGUUUCGCAAACGAACGCGCCGAACGACCGGCAAACGGACCCGCCGCGCGGUAUCGCGGCAUAUCAAUAGCGCGGGUCCGAGCGAUAAGCGCCCGCGGAUUCCGCAUCACCGUGUACGUGCGUGCGUGCGUGCGUACAACGUACACGCGUAUAAUAACGGCAUAACCGCGGCAUCGUCGGUCGGUCGGUCGGUCGGUCGGUCGGCCGUUGCGCGCGCGUGUAUACGUAACACGCGUAGGUACGCGUAUUAUAAUAAUACAGUGUCGGCGGCGGCGCGUGGUUAUUAUACGACGAGGGUUCGAAUAAAUUAAUUCGGUUUCUCGCGAGCGCGCCCGGGCGCAGCUGCGCGACGGGCGGAGGAGAGGGGUCGAGUUUCUCGCGCGCCAACCCGAACACGGUGUAGUAUAGGUUAAUUCGGCCGGGCGCUUUUCCGUCGCGGAAAAUUCGGUCCCCCCCGCCCCGCCCCGCACCGCACCGCCCCCUCCCCAUCCGUUUACACCUAGGCGCGCGCGUGUAUACAUAUAUAUAUACAUAUAUAUAUAUACAUACAUACAUAUAUCUACGCGCACACAUAUAUUAUAAUGAACUUACGCGGCGGCGGCGGCGGCGGACAGAAGGUAUUUAGCAAAUCACUGACACGGGAGACCGGGCGGCGGGAGCGCGCGUCGCGUAUACACGCACACGCACACGCACACGGGGAGCGCAUUGAAGUUCAUCAAACCGCAAAAUACCGCCGCCGCCAUCAAUUCCCGUGUGUGUUUGGCAUCGCUGAUUUGCAUUCGCCCCGGCGAAAUUAUACACCUAGAAAGGGUCUUUCCCGCCCGGUCCCGCCGUCUUUUAUUACGCGCGCGCGCGCGCGCGCACCCGCGCUAGCGUACAAUACCGGCGGCGGCGGUUAAUUGCGGACGCGGAAGCGUUCAUGGAGAAACAUUGCCGCGGACGUGUAAUUAACGCGGACAAAAAGACGCGCCGCCGCCGCCGUCGUCGUCGUCGGUUUUCGCUCGUGGGCGGCCGCGUUCGUCGCCCGCGUCCCGCCGGCUCAAAGGCCGCCGUCGUAUUAUUAUUUGUCUCGCGCUAUCCACGACACACAAUAACGUCGGUUUCGGUAAAACACCGAGGUGGGGCAGGGGUGGGCGCGGCGUUCCGAAAAUUCGGAUUCUUAACCGGACGAAAUUAUCGGUCCGUCAAAACCGUCGUUUCGUGUUUGCGGGUUUUCCGGUUAUUUCCAAACCAUUCCCAAGCCGCGACCAACACUAGUUGACGGUCGUAGUUUUUUAUUUCUCCGGACGUAUCGAAAAUUCGACCGGAAAUCUUGCUCUGGCGUACACGGUGCAGCGACUUUUCCGAAAGGAAAUUUUUACUGGGGAGGUACUAUAAGGGAGGUCGUUUUUCGAUUUUCUCUAGAGUUUUCCCAGCAAAUAUGAAAAACACGGGAAAAUCGGUACAAUAUUAAACAGAUAUUAUCGACGAAUAAAUAAAUAACGCCUAUCCAAUUAUUUUACCAUAAUAUGACAUGUAUUAUAUUGUUGAUAAAACAUCACCAUCAAUUGAACUCCACUUAGAAUCGUUUUUUCGUUAGCAAUGGUUCAUCGUUGCUCACGUACAGAACAUACCUAACACUCGAUAAAGAAAAACGAUCCAGUGGGGGAGGGGCGAUCGCCUCCAUUGGCCAUCCUAAAAACCGCCACUGAUCCGGAACGAUCACGUAGUAACAAUAAUGCGAUGUUUUAAGGUAUACCUAAUGAUUCACCCGUCGCGACGAAAAAUUAACAUACGCCUCCCACUGCCAAAAUCCCGUCUAAUCUCUUGGCGUUGGAUGGUUUUAGCUGUUUUUGGCGUGCUGGAGUUUAUACGCGUGGAUUAGAUUAGAUGGCGUUGGAAAACAUAAGAUACGCCUAAAAGCUUUAUCGUUAUAGGUGGCGAUUUUAUGAUCGGAGGCGUAUUCACAGGGAGUGAUGUACGGGUAAUAUACCACAAUAGUAAAUAUUUUCCUCCGGUUUAAAUUUACCACGAAAAUUUGAUCUGACAGGUGGGUGGGGGAGAGUAAUGAAUAAAAAGUGAUUAUUGACAUCUCUUUUUUUUUUUGAUUAUGUUAAAAUGGUGGCAAAAAGGAAAUAUUUUCCGUAACACCUGUGUUUUUGUUUAACUCGAUACAACGGGAGGGGUGCACGAUGCUGACUAUAACCAAAAUACAUCCGAGUAUCAGAUGCAGAGGAUACAGUUCACAAAUACGGACGUCCGACGGAGUUACUCGGUUAUGACGUGAGCGGUAUAAAUAUUAUGUAUUUUUUACAUUUCGUCGUAUUUACAGGCGAUAUAUUUACGCGUUGUGUUUCAAAAUUAAAUCCGUCCAACGCGCACUUUUAUCUCUAAACAAAUAAAAAUGAUAACUACCUAUAUAUUAUAUAUUACGGUGCCGCCUGAGCACAUUUAUAUAGAAAUAUCGUGUGACGGAUCAACCGCUCGCGGUGUGCGGCAGUGAUGGCCCCUCCUCCCGUUAUAGUCACGCCUGUUUUCCGCACACAAAUUUCACAUAUGUCCAUAAUUAAUCGUUUUUUUACGGCCCUACUGUUUCGUUUGGAUUCUGUAGUAUUAUUUUCAGUGGCGUCACGAAUUUAUAUUUUUUGUAGAAAUCGCCGCUUAGACUUUGGGUUUUGAAGUGGUUUUCAAAUAAAUUACGAUCGGGCGAAAAGCCGCAUUUGUCCCAUUUAUUGGGAAAACUCCUGGAAAAAUCAAAAAACGACCUCCCUAAAGUACACCCCGGGAAAAUUCCCUUUCUGAAAAGGUGUUACACUUUAUUUCUGAUAGAAUUUGUGCGCACAAAAUGAAAAAAAAAAAAAAAAAAAAUUAACGUCGUAGUAAAACCAAUAUACAUUCCUCGAUCCGCUCAGAAUCUAAAAUAUAUUUUAACGCAACGUACUUAUAUAUAAUAUAAUAUUAUAUACAUCUAUAGUGGAUAACUGGUGACUAUUUGAUAUUUAUCGAAAUAAAAACCAAAAGAUAUGCAUUCGUUUUUUUCCACAAAAUAAAAUAAAUGCGCAUUUCAAACGUUUGGUUUUUAUUUAAUUUGUACUUUUAUUUUUGUAGAAUAUCGUUUUCUAACUCGGUGUUCGAUAAAUCGAAAGCAUUACUAUCGACAAAUAUUAUUUAACCGCCAUACAGGGUGAUUUUUUUUUAUCAUGAACCAGCAACCAUCUCCGGGGAUUUCAAGUGAAUUUGAUUUAUGUUUUUCUAAUCAUUAUGGAAUUGUUUAACCUUUAUUUUAAAGCCGUUUUUAAUUUUUGCCCCUGCUCUAUGCACAUUAAACAAGUAUACACGUUUGAUUUUCAAAUAGGAACCCCCUUCCUUUUAAACAAAGAUUUAAACAGACGAUAUUUUUCUAGAAAUUUUGAUAUGCACAACACUAAUAUUAGAUUUGCCGUUUAUGAGUUAUAACGUAAUGAGUUUAAAUUUUAGACCGGACGAGUAGGGAAGGGUUAAAGAUAAGUAAUUCAUUACCCUUCUCUACUCCUAUACUUAUUUAAGGUACACGGAGUAAGUGCGAAAAAUAAAAAAAAAAAAUAGUUUUAAAAUAAAGCUUAAACAAUGGUUAGGAAAAACAGAAAUCGAAUUCAUUUAAAAUCCUCUGAGAUAAUUGCUGGUUCAUGAUGAAAAAAACACACCCUGUAUAUUGUGCUACUACAAUCACAAUAUAACAGAGAUGUUCACUCGAGCCUAACCUAACCUUCGACAAAUAAAUACGUAAGAAUAUAUUAUAAUAAUAUUUAUACAACGAUAACAGUUAUUAUCUUUAUUUUAACAAGCCAUCUCGGGCUCGAGACUGUACGCACGGACGGAUAAACUGGUUUUUGUAAAAAAUGAUUCGUAAAUUCGUAACAAAACGAAAAACCAACAGUGCGAGAUGGUACCGUUGAUAUUAUAUAGGCGCCGUCGGCCGCUUAUUUUUAACUCGAACGAUUCUAUUCGAAAACGAUUCUAAACGUGGCUUACAUUAUACUAGUGCCGCGAACAAUUCCCCGUCUAUCUGUAUAAUGUUACACUCGUAUUUUGAACAAUACGACGGAUAAUUCGCCCCGGAAAAACGCAUGCCUAUCGUAUAACAAACAAUAUUGUAAUAAUACGUGCGUACGUAUCGCCGUGAGACUACGUUAUUCUGUUCGGCGUCUAAAACGACUUGGGCAUAAUAUUAUUGUUAAAAAUAUGUAUACAAUUAUUAUCGUUGUGUAAACAUUUAAUCUGACGAUUAUCGCGCGAAAGCUAUUGACUCAAAGUCGUCACAUCACCAGCACCACCCCGACUUUUUCGAAUGUUCAAACCUGAAUUCGUGUACCGUUUUGGUAACGGUCGGAUUAUGUGACGAAUAAUUUCGGUAACCCCGGUAAUUAGAAUAUCUCUGGUUAAAUUUUUGUUUUUUUUUUUUUUGUUUUCGAUAAAUGAGUGCCAUCAGCGUGAUGUCACCCCCAUCGGUUUGCUUAUAACAAAAUCGAAAUACAAUGGUUAUUAUUUUUCUUCUAAAUUCUUUGGCUAUUGUCGUACAUUUAAAGUUUGUUUUUUUUCUUCGGGAAAUGAUUAUAGAUAUUUAUGAUAUUUUUAAAAUAUUGUCUCCGUGAGCUUUGUUGUACAUAUUUACAUACAAUUGAAGUAUCUGUGUCUGUCCGUUCGGAAAUAAUCUCGGAAACGGCCCGAAACGAUUCCAAUGGGACUUUCACCGUUACAUUUAUCCCGGAAUUCAACACCUGUCAGAGUGGAUGGCACAUGAUUUUUCGUCGUAUAACUCGAAAAUCGAAUUCGUCUUUUGUCUAUUAGGACUACGACUUGGUCACACGAAUGAAAAUAAGGUGAUACUGUUCACGGGUAGGCCGCUGUUCUUAGGUGGGCUGUCGGAAUGGUCGGUAUGUUCAGGUUAAUUUAAUUGGUAAACGAAUAAUCGAUUUUAAACAUAGUAGCACACGGUCAGUCGUGUUGUUUCCCUUAUUGCUAAGGUAAUCCGGUUUUAAACAAAAAUUAAAUAACACAUUUCUCGUUGGUCCCGAUCAUUGAGAAAACUAUAAUGGAAAUGAUAACCUCCACUAUAGCUAACCCAGUUAGUUGGGACUAGCCGUAAUUUGCUUUCGAAAAAAAAAAAAGAAAAAAUGACACGCUCGACGGUCGCAGUGAGAUUUCCGGUUAAAAACGUGUUGUCUACUAAAAAAAAAAAAAAAAAACGCGCCGUAGCCAAUACCCGCAGUGCGCGUGUAUUAUUCCUUGGCACACUCAGAACGUGAAAACGGUUUUCGAUAUUUAUCGUUUGCAUUUGUCACCGUCAAGCAGAGUCCGUUUUUUUUUUUUUUCUAAAAGAUUUCGAAUACGGAUUAUUGUGAUCGCCGUCGAUUACGUCGUAAUAAUAAUAACGUGUUAUGGUCGCGCUGAACCCGGUCGGGACGCCGUCCGUUCGUACGGAUCCACGGACACCGUAAGACGGACCCGUUUAUUGUGUUAUUAUUUCCGUCCGAUACGAUUGCGCGGCGAGACGAUGGCCCGGUCGCGCCCGUACAGGAAUGAAAAAUGAUGUGCUUUUCUUUUGACUGUCGAAUGACGGCGUAUCCGAGGCGGCGUUAAUCCAACGGAACGGUGACGUAACGUCACCCCGUUGACCCCGCGCCGUCCGGGGUCCGGCCGCCGUCGCAGUUCUUAAAAAACCGACACGAUAUUUAUAACUUUUUACGCCCAUUGUAAACGGUCGCGCGCGCUGCACAAUACGAAUCGGUCGCGUUUGUUUUCGAAAACGUAUUAUAUACAUUGUUUUGUGUGUAUGUGUGUGUAUGUGUGUGUGUGUGUGUGUGUGUGUGUGUGUGUGUGUGUGUGUGCGCGCGUGUGUGCGUGUGUGUGUGUGCGCGCGUGUGUGCGUGUGUACAAAAGGACCACGGAAAAUUUGAAUACGACCGCAACAGCCAAAGGUCAGAACACACGCAGCAUUUUAUACAUGCACACGACGAAAACAACAAUGCUCGAAUGAAAAAAAAAAAAAAAAAAUAAUAAUAAUAAUAAUAAUAAUAAUAAAAACCGAACGUGUCGCCGCUUAUAUAUUAUUCAAACGGUAACCCCUUGUCGUCGUCGCGGUCGCCGUUCGUUUUGUACACGGGUACCUCUACCUACCGACUAUUACUCUAUACCUAUACACACACACACACACACGCGAGUAUACGACAGUACGAAAUGUACGGUGUGCGUGCGCGCGUAUAUGUAUGUAUAUUAUUAUCGGUGGGCGGCAGGUAGUAAAGCUUUAUGAUAACAAUAGUGAAAUAGAGAAAAAACGAAAUAAAAAAAAAAAAAAGUCCAAAAGAAAAAAGCCACCCGAACCGGCGGCGGCGUACGUUGUUAUUAUUAUAAUAUCGUGUGCGUGUGUGUGUGUGUGCGCGCGCGCGCGCGCAGGUAGCCGGUAGAGGUCGUGGCCGCGGCGUUAUCACGUGUCGGACAUCUCCGGAGGCGCGCGGCAAAUUGCGCAUAAUAAUAUAUUAUUAUUGUUGUUGUUGUUGUUGUUAUUAUAACGAUACUCGCGCCUACCCGCGGCGCGAUAACAAUACCGCUGCGCCGACGCGUACUGAAACACUGUCGCCGACAAUAAUACACGGGGCCCGCGCGUGUUUACCAGACGUCGCGCGCGCGCGCCCCGUCCCGUCCGCGGCGUCGCCGCCGCGUAGGCGUCUGCUGCGGGGCGCCGCGAGAAAAACCGGAAAAACCGCCGCGUACGAGGCGCGCGCAGCACGCACCGGCGCCGCGCGAUCCGCCGCUGGUCUUGCGGCGGACGGGUGCGUGACGCGAACACAAACAGCGCCCGCCCGCCGCCGCGCGUCAUUCCGCAGCGUUGUCGCGCCCGCGGAAGACGACCCGAACGGUUUUGUCGCGGCGACCGAAACGGUCGCGUCCGAGCACCGGCACGGGAUCCCGGAGACGGGAGGCCCGCACGCACUUUGGUCGGUCGACGGGUUGAACGCCGGCCGAAUGGCGGGGUAGAACUGCGCGCGGUGCAAUUGUAAAACGUGAUUUCGCGUCAUGGCAAUGACAAUUAUGCGAUACGCCGUUACACGGACACAUUGUCCGUCCAAUCGACAAACAAAAACAAUUCGGUUGAUGUUGGGGGUGGGGGGGUGGGGGGAACGGCACGUUUUAAUAUUAUAGCGAUGCGCCAUUUUUUUUUUUUCUACGUAUUUUAUCGCGUGUAAUUUCAAGAACACUCGUUUAGAUAUCGGGAAGAAUUUUCGAUGGACGGCGAUCGUUUAAAAUUUCCCAUCAUCGGCCAUCGACUCCUACCCGAUAAUUCUGUGGAAAAAAAAAAAACGUUGGCUUUUCGCUUAAAAUUUCGAUAAUUUUUUUUUUUUUUUAUUUGAUUUUAUAUUAAUAUUCAACAACCGCUGAUUAAGAUACAAUUAUAAAAUUUGAUAUUCGAUAUUCUUAGAUCGAUUUUUAAUAAAUAAAUAAUAGAGUAUACAUUGUUAUAAAAUGUGCGAUUUUCGGAUAUAAAAAUUGAAAAAAGUGUGCGGUCUCGUCCUGUAUUUUAUCGCAAGUGUGCGUUUUUCGGAUUCAUCGAUAUAAACGUACUCGUACGGCUUGAUGAUACGCGACGACGUCCGAUGUGUUAUCAUUAUUAUUAAUGCCCGCGUCCAGUUUUAUCGUUGAUGUUGAUGUGCGCCAUCGACACCCGAACAAAUCGCAAUAAUAUUGUCGGAGACGAAAAACGGUUGGAAAACGAGACUUGUUUACAUGUCACCGUGAAUUACGCGGACGAAAUUCCGUUUGAAAAUCGGUUUCGCGUGAUUUUUUCCGAACGGAUUUACGGUGAAAUUUUUAUUUCGAAAAAGGUAGCGAAUUUCGUUGAAAACAAUGUUUGAAAUCGCAUAAAGUUUCUCCUGUUAUUCUUCUGUACUGUGACACACGUAUAUAUGCUCUCCGUGCGUUUUUAACCGAACUUCGCCGCAUGCCUGUAGCUUAAAUUAGCUCUCUCCAGUUUUCAACCGUCUUUUAAAAUUGUCUACUUCCAUUACCACUUAAAUCCGAUUGGACUGAAAAGAUCCGCGGGAAUAGACGUUUACCGCGGAACUUUCCCCGGGGGUCUUACUUCUCGGCGUUUCCGUCGCGUUUGCUGUCCGAAUCGUCUCGUUUCAUCCACUCCCGUUAUUUCCUAAUUACCGGAUGUACCCAAAGCGUUGUACGCUUUGUCGCCCUUUAGCGAACAUUGUCACUAAUCAAACAGCGCUCUUCCGAACCUCGGUCGUCAGUUUCUCGUCGCUUCGACAAUGGUAGGGCCGCAUAUUCCCGGGAGUUCUCAUCGUUGACAAUUUUCUAUCAGUUUUUCCGGCUGUCGUCCGGUCACCGCUCAGAUUCGAUAUUUGCUAUAGUUAUACACACACACAUCCAUUAUAUAUAUAUAUACUCCAUUGUCUAUUUAUAAAAUGUAAGCAAGUUCGUUACCGCUGACCCGGCGGCCAUCGUUUUAAACGAGAAAAUACGAAUUCCGUUUUUCGAACGUGUUCGGGACGAAUAACGCCGCAUACGAAUAUUACAGAAUUGCGCGCCUGUAACGCUCACUUUCCCGGUACACGUAGGUACAAUAUUAUAAUGUAUCGCCAACCCGAAACUAUAUAUACGCAUAUAAUAAUAUUAUGUGCCGGUAAAAGGAAAAAUAAAACCCCCCGACCGAAGGAUGCGCGAAAUAUACGAGCGCGUAAAAUCCGUUUUAUUCCGACCUAUUGCGUUCGAGUAGUUGAUCAAAUUUGAGAUGGCGCGGGCCGUGCACGCGCACUUUGUCCGGUCGUAAAUUUAUGUGCAUUCGCGAUCGACCGCGAGUUUAAUUUUCCGGAAACAACAAUUGCGGCGGACGAGGUGGCGAGUGAUAAGAGAUUGCGUUUCGCCGCGGUGUGUGUGUGUGCGCGUACGUUUAGUGUAGGAGAGAGGCAAUCGCGUUAAAAACCGAACAUGUGGUCACGGUCGAUGCAUCAACAUCAAACCGCGGUCUAUCCGCACACUCGCUAUAAUAUACAGUCCCGGCGCCCUUGUGAAUGGGGAGGGGGAUAGGGGGCGACGGAAAGGGCAUCCCUUUUUAGUUAAUCCCGUGAACACUGGUGAAAGAUGUGUUAAUCCGAUUAAAAGCCCCCCCCCCCUCUCACUAUCUCCCUCCACACCGUGCCACGGCAGACCUUAUAAACAACGACCUGCUCGCGCGAUUCUUCCGGUCCGCCGAUUUAUCGCCUGCGAAUAAAACCGGCGGUGGUUUUCGGUUCGCCGCCGCCGCCGCCGGUAAUGUGAUUAAAUAAUACAAAAAUAUAUACGUAUACAAAAGAAAUAAAGAAAAUGGUGACCGGCAAAAAAAAAAAAAAAUAAAAAAAAAUAUUUAUAUUUAAUCCACUCGUGUGACAAUGCCGAAUUGUUGACAAUAACUGCUACGACCCGUGCGGUGUUCAAGGGGUAGUGCAUAGGCAAUUUUAACGAAAAUGUAGAGAAAAAUACGAACAUAAUUUUACUACCCAUUCGAAAAUAUAAACGCAAGAUAAAAGUGAUUUCCGCGAUAAAACGUUUCAUAAUGUAGAAUUGAAUGACCGCCUAUAGCACAAAUUCGUUUGUAUAGCAACCUGUUACUGGUUCCCAUUAAAAUUGGAAUCGGUUAAAAAAGAAUCAAAUUCGUUUUAUCGGUUACAUUGGUUAAGAAAUUGGUUAUAAAAUGUUGUGACCAUCUCGGAUAGACGGUGACGAACGAUAAAUCCCCUCCAGAAUUAUUACUUCUCUUUAAAAAAAAACUCUGGCGACUCUCCGAAACUUUGGCGACCAGCGUGUUAUCACCUUCCAUGAUUAUGAUGUUGUCAAACGAUAUUGAUUUAAUUUGACUAUGGAAAUUUCGUUGUAAAUUGUUAACGUUGAUAUAUUAUUAUUUAAUUUCGUUUAAUUGUUAUUUAAUAUAGUUUUACGUAGGUACAACCGAGUGCAAAAGAUAUUCAAACUCUUUUUGAUAUUUUAGUUUGGUUCAUUAUCAAUUUUUUUGCCUGUCUGUAAGCAAAUUUUUUCACCGAAAAAACGACAAUAACGCUUUUUUCGUAGCAUUUUGAAUCUAGUUGAUAUACUGAGAAGUGCAUAUUUUGGUUUAUUUAUUUAUUAGAAUCGCGUCAUACAUUUUUCUUGCGGUUUUCACUUCGUGUACCCUAUCUUUCUAACUUUCCACCUAUAACAGUGGCAUACCCAUGAGCAUUAUCUGCUCUUUUGUUUUUAACGCUGAUAGAUUUGUCUCGUUGUUUUCUAUAUUUUAUUUUAUAACGGGUAUUUUAAUUCCGAAACCACUUACAAACGUCUUUUCGCUUGUUCCACGUGUUAAAAAUAUAUUUUACGACUAUAUAUUUCUGCGAUGUAAACUUACGGAUAUUGCGAAUUUACAAUUGAAUGGUACACGGAAGAAGAGCAGUAGUCCUUUAUUGUCGAGAUAAUGGUACCGUCGUUCGCCGGUGGUUCGAAAUAACUAUUAUCGGAUGAUGUGCUCAAUUCUGUGAACAAAUACGUUUCAGUAAAAUAAUAUAUUGAAGGCGAAAUAUAAAAUGUGCUCCGCGCAGCUGUAUAUGGAGAAGUUUUGUUCUGCCGAACAUUUUUCUAUAAAACGCGUUACACCCGUCUUCCCGCGCGCGCUUCAAUUGUAUAAUCCGUUCCAAGAGUCAGAAUACAUUGGUGCUGUUUUUUUGUUUUUUUUUUCAGGUCAUGUGCCCACUGUGCACCAUCCUCUCUAGCGUAUUUCGGCGGUGUAUAAAAAAAUAAAAAUAAUACGCAGCGAAGAAGACGGAAUAGGAGUUUUUCAACCGACGUAGUCGUCGACUCAAAAGGAAUAGUAUACGGGUAGUGAUGUAGUACAAACACCGCGGUGGUGUUCCUAUACACACAAAAGGAGAUUGUAUAACGUUUGCGGUCGUAUAUUAUAUAUAUAUAUAUAUACAAAUUCGAAACGGGAGACGAACAAAACCAAAGGAGUCGCAGAAGCAGCAGCAGCAGCAGCGACAGUAGUGCGAGAAAUACAAAAUAAAUAAAAACCCGAUGUAUAAUACUUUAGCUCCGAGAAAUUUAAAUAGUGUUUAUGUAAAGUGAAACGUACCUACCUGUGUAUAUUUAUCGACAAUUUGCAUUUUAUUGGUAAACCGUCUCUUUCGAUAUUAUUGUAAUAAUAAUAAUAAUAAUAAUAUAGUCUUGCGGUUUGUAUACGUAUAUUAUAGUACGUAUAAUACAGCAGAUACCUAAACGUUUUCUUUUUGACUGUCUGCUACCGAGUCAACGCCGCACAAACGGUUGUCUAUACCGCAGGUUAAAUACGAACGGUUACGGCGGGACGUAAACACAAAAAUUUAACGUGCUCCUAGAAAAUGCACGUCUCGUUUUAAAAAACAGGAAAAACGAUAAUAUUUAUACACACGUCGAGUUUUAGACGGAUAAACAAUAACCGUAACAUAAUUUGAACUAUUAUAAGUACACAAUUAAUUAAUAACAACAAUAAUAAUAAUAAUAAUAAUGUAUUGUAAAGAAGAAAAUUUACAAUAAGUGAUAACGCCCUUUAUGGGCUAAGAGUACAGAUAUAUAGCGUAAAUACGGAAUACAUUAAGUGAG